Molecule: long non-coding RNA, 2053 nt
Organism: Papaver somniferum (opium poppy)
Lineage: Eukaryota; Viridiplantae; Streptophyta; Magnoliopsida; Ranunculales; Papaveraceae
Exons: 8
Source: RefSeq, a predicted model, not a curated record
CCCUCAUCACUGUCGAUUCAUUUUUCUCUUGCCCUUCCCUUCUCUCACUUCGUUUUCCAUUUCUUGCUUGAUUUUGAACAGGAUUUUAGCCUUUUAAAUUUGUGCAAAAUCAUCCAAGGUAAAAAUAACCGAAGAAAAUUGCUUGAUAGAAUUUGGUGAGAAUUGAUGGAAGCCAUGAACUGAGAUUCCAGUUGAGAGUUUAAAUAUCGGGAAAACAGCGAAAUUGAGGAACACUAUGGCAUGAAGUGGCUUCAGACACCAGCGAGACUGUAUAGCAUGUCCGCCGAAGUUAAUGUAAGGCAAAACCGUUUUUACAACUUGGGUAUGCGGAAGAAUAAAAUUUAUUUAUGAAUCUUCCCAUGGUUGAUCUAAUGCUUGCUUUGGAGAUACUAAUUUGUUUCAUGGUCCUGGGUUACUGGGUAUGUGAAUUAUGAAAAUCAACACGGAUGGAAGGUUGAAUUCUACACCAGGCUUCAGGGUCUUGUUUUUCCUGGAAAUGGUGAACCAAUUUUCCCAGCUACCAAAAUUAUCAAAGCUAUGUUUGCGAAAGUGGAUCUACAAGUCUCUAACCUCGGUUUCUGCAUGGUCACUGCAAUACAAACUCUCCAGCAAUACUCUCAACAGGUUUCAAGUUAUCUCUGUUAAGAAACUUAUCAUGUAAUUCUUCCUGAUAUAAGAACACCUACUUUUGAUUUUCAUGAAAACUCUCCACCAACCAAUGCACAAAGUCCAGCAACACCCCUUUAAAGGUUCGAAAGAUUCUAUAAUAACGAUGAAUGGCCAGUUGUAUGAAUUCCGUUGAAUCCUCCACAAAUGCAGCCAUUACAAAAUUCAGCACCUCCACUACCUGGUAAAAAAUUGUGUACCUCCACCAAUGGUUUUAAUACAAAAUUCAGAGCUUCCACCAAUGUUGAAGAUACAAAUUUCAGCACCUUCAAUGACGUCUGGAGCUUCCACCUAUGUUUCCAGUGAAAAGUUCAACACACACAACAACUGCCCCCAAUGACGUUGUGGCCAGUACAAAAUCCAAUACCUCCUAAAACUUUCCUAGAACUCAUCACGAUCCUUUGUAUUGCUGAUACAAAAUUUACUAGUGCCUCCACCAAUGUUUCUGAUACAAAAUUCUGGUCUCCACCAAUGUUUAUGAUACAAAUUUCAUCACUAUCGCUGACGUCGCCAGCAUGCAUUCAAGCACCACCACCAAUGCCCCAUUAAGUGUUUUCACCCUCCGAACCAGCAUCACCGAUCAUACAUUAACACUCUUGUUCCAAACCCAAAUACGAUCUUAGAGUAAGGAAACCAAAAGGAAGAUGUAUCCUUCUAUCGUCUCCAAGUCGGCGCAGCUUCCUGGAAUAAAUCUAGGGCUAAAGUGAAGCACAAUGCCUCCUUGAUCUGCACGUAUGUCGUUUCAUUGUUGUGGUGAUGAAUGCUAUAAACGCCUCAUUCAUUUAAAGCAUUUUUCAGAAGAUAACAGGGAAGAUGGAAUCCAUUUGUUUCUCAUAUUAUUGGAAGAAAUAUAUGCCGCCUUACUCUAUGGGGAUUAGAGAGAUCCGAGCCUGGGAAUUUUUUUCUGGUGUGCUAAAGACUUAAAGGUUAUAUUUCUCCUGAAUCUGAAUUGAGAACAACAUGGAGAGAUGUAGAUGUAAUGUUGGAACUUCUCACAGGAGGAGACGGAAGUCCUACGACAGGUAAACCAAACACUUCGUAUCUUUCAAAUAUUUUCCUAGGUUACUCGAGGGGAGCCUUUUCUCGGUGGAAUGAGAAAUACUUCAUCAUUUCAAUAAAAGACAGACAGUUUGCACGUCGCAUAUAUGGAUGAUUCAAUAUAAGUAGUUAUUUUAGAUUGAUAAAAGACGAUGCUAACACAGAUACGCAGUUUGCAAUAUCCAAGCAAAACUGAUCUUUUACCUCAUUUUUGUUCUUUAUUUUCCAAAAUAUGGAGAAGAACCAAAGUCCAUCAAGCAAAGAUGGAAAAUGUCGUCUUUCUUCUCUACAUUUAUUUCUAGAAUGCUAUGCUACAUAUAUAAUUAAAUAUAUAAUUGGGUUAUCUGAA